Molecule: long non-coding RNA, 833 nt
Organism: Hipposideros armiger (great roundleaf bat)
Lineage: Eukaryota; Metazoa; Chordata; Mammalia; Chiroptera; Hipposideridae
Exons: 4
Source: RefSeq, a predicted model, not a curated record
CAGGAGGCAGGGGACAGCCAGGAUGGCAAGAAAGCUCUCCCCAGAUACCCUUCUGCUUUUAUCAUGGAGGAAAAAUACUUCUUAGAACGACUCCAGAAGAUUUCCUCUUACAUCUUCUUAUUCAAAACGAAGUGACGUGCCAUUUUUGGUAUCCAGGGAAUCUGGGAAAGCCUGGUGGAUGAGAUCUGGAUGGAUUCAACAGAUUUGGACCAAAGCAACAACACAGUCCUUGAUUUAUGAACCUCCAUACUGUGAGCCUGGCGUCAGACCAGGAACCAUUUUUUGGAUGUCCUACCCAGGAAAGACAGCCAAGCGUCUUCUUUUCCAGCAAGAAUGUGGGUGCUCCCGUCUUCGCAGCCUCCACUCCUCCGUGGUGCCCACGCCCUGCCCUCGCCACUGUUACUGCCUGCCAGGCCUCUGCAGCCAUCAGAGCACGAUUCCUGAGGUCCUCCAAUGUCUGCACUUUUCCAGAAGAGGAGACACAGUUGUAAGAACUGAAGGCCUUUAUAUCGUUCCGAUGUGCUUACCACACUAAGUCUAGGAACCAUCUCUCACCACGUAAAGGAAUGUCUGAAGAAGAUUCAUGUUGGUGGUUUUGAUGAAGGCAUCGACAAAUUGGCAGAAGUUAAACCUCAGAAACAAACUGUCAUUAUCAUUUAUUACUAUUAGUGAACAAUACGAUGGUAUACAUUUCCCCCUUUGCUCAAAAAAUGCUUUAUGAUUAAUCUAUUACUCCGUGUUUCUUUUCUGACUGUUAUUAUUAUGACUCCUUUUACUUUAGGGUUAUUAUUAAAAAUAAUUCUAUCUAAUAAAGAACGUGGUGUUAAGGAUAA